This 241-nucleotide ribosomal RNA is filed under the name uncultured Thiobacillus sp. RNAcentral's name for it is "partial 16S ribosomal RNA". It matches the Rfam family "Bacterial small subunit ribosomal RNA", at positions 1142 to 1382 of the family's 1533-position model. The record is from RNAcentral. Lineage: Bacteria; Pseudomonadati; Pseudomonadota; Betaproteobacteria; Nitrosomonadales; Thiobacillaceae.
UAAGAGACUGCCGGUGUCAAACCGGAGGAAGGUGGGGAUGACGUCAAGUCCUCAUGGCCCUUAUGGGUAGGGCUUCACACGUCAUACAAUGGUCGGUACAGAGGGUUGCCAAGCCGCGAGGCGGAGCCAAUCCCACAAAGCCGAUCGUAGUCCGGAUUGUUCUCUGCAACUCGAGAGCAUGAAGUCGGAAUCGCUAGUAAUCGCAGGUCAGCAUACUGCGGUGAAUACGUUCCCGGGUCUU